GAACGGCUGAAUUCAAAUGAGCUGUCAUUGUUGUGUGCAGAUCGCGUUAAUCUGUCCAAAUGGUUUAUGUAUUUCAGUGCAUCUAAAUGCUGUGUUGCUCUCUGGAUCAGAGGUGUAUUUCUGUAGUCGCCUUAUUGUGUCAG
Long non-coding RNA from Xenia sp. Carnegie-2017, 143 nucleotides. RefSeq lists it as uncharacterized. The transcript has 3 exons. Lineage: Eukaryota; Metazoa; Cnidaria; Anthozoa; Malacalcyonacea; Xeniidae. The record is from RefSeq and is a predicted model, not a curated record.